UAUCAGAGUAAGAAACACUCUUAAUAUAAAAUAUCCAGAAAAUAUCUAGAUAGAUCUAGUGUGUAAAAUUAAACUGUUUUCAAUACUGAAAGACAACUUCACAAGUUAAACGUUUCGUAGUGGCGGUAAAGUUAGCUAUCUAUUGAUUCAAUUAUUUGUUAUUUUUAAAGCAAAAAUUAGAAUUAAUUAAAGAUCUUAAAAAGUAUAUGCGCAGAAAUGAAACACAAAAUUUUCCUAGUAGGGGGAAUAGUUUUUGCGUCGGAAAUCAUUUGGUAUUUGUACAAAAAAGUUCAUAACUUAUGGAUUAAAUCUACAAACACUUGCAAAGAUUUGAAAACAAACAUUUAUGAAUCGAAACAAGACAUUUCAGAGGUGAUGUUUUUUACAAAAGAAUCUAGUUUUUGUCGAACACAUUUAGCUAAUAAAGAGAUUUGUCUCAAAGACACUUGUUCUGUUCAAUAUUUGAGAAAGUUAGAAAAUUAUAUAAACCGAGCAAAAAAAAGUUUAGAUAUUUGUAUGUACAUGUUAACUUGUCAAUUGUUAUCAAAUGCAAUCGUAAACGCACAUAAACGGGGAGUACUUGUUCGAAUAAUAAUGGAUCGAAGUAUGGCUUGCAAUGAAGCCGCGCAAACGGCUUUGUUUUAUAAGAAUGGGGUCACAAUUAAAUUAGAAUAUUACGUUGGUUUAAUGCAUCAUAAAUUCGCGAUUGUGGAUAAUGAUAUAUUAAUCACUGGUAGUACGAAUUGGACAAUGUCUGCUUUUUUUGGAAAUUUCGAUCAUAUAAUAGUGACUAAUCAACAUUCGUUAGUGAAGCCAUUCGUCGAUGAAUUCGACAGGCUAUGGAAGACAUCUCCAAACUCGGAAGAAAAUACAGAAUGUUCAGCGCAAUUUUCAGUAAAAUAACAACUUGUAAUUUGAAACUUCUCGAACAGCGCAAAUUUUCAUGCGAACGAGCGGUCGAAUUCUCGCGGGGAGACGUGGAAGAGAAUAAGUAAUUCUGGGGGGAUAUGGAAACAGGUACGAAUGGAAAAAAAGAGAAUAAUUGGACGACGAGGAUAUCGCCUCGAGCGAGUGUCGUAGCCGCUUGGCUCAUCAAAAUAAAACGUGGAUUUUACACGUUGCGGGACCGGUGUCGCCACGUAUAUCCUAUAUCUACAUAUGUGUAUAUUUACAUACGUAUAAAAGUACGGUCGUGGAUAGGAGAACAGUCGAGCGUGGUUAUUCGAGCGAACAUGAUCGAGUUACAGAUCGUCACGUUGUUUAUCGUUGGAACUUUAGCGGCUCCUGGAACGCUUCGAGCGACUGGUGGAACGUCUGGAAUCGAUUUCGCUGAUCGAGAUAUAAUAACGAAAGAGACGGAAAUGAUCUCGUUGCCGUUGCCAGGCACGGAGAAUCUAGAGGAGAAAGCCAUACCUUUGUCGAAAUUGGUUUCUCAUCAACUUUUACCGCCCAUCGGACAAGACUCGCUGUCUGAAAAUUCUCGAUUAUCUUCCGAACUUCCUGGAACGAAAAAUCUGGCCGAGAAACGUAUCCCUGUACCGAUUUUGGAAAAGUUGUAUCAACGACAGAAACUCGAUCGAUCGAGCGUUUGAACGAUUUUUUUUUUUUUUCGUUCUUUCGAGAGAUUUUGUCAAAUUGUUAAAUUGAAUCUCGAUUCGAUUAUCUAUCGAGCUGAUAGAGAUACGAUGGAUUAGAGGAAAAUAUACGCUAAUUUCCUUGAGCUGUA
This 1726-nucleotide unclassified non-coding RNA is filed under the name Apis dorsata (giant honeybee). RNAcentral's name for it is "mitochondrial cardiolipin hydrolase, transcript variant X5". Lineage: Eukaryota; Metazoa; Arthropoda; Insecta; Hymenoptera; Apidae. The record is from RNAcentral.